This 1231-nucleotide long non-coding RNA is filed under the name Macaca mulatta (Rhesus monkey). RNAcentral describes it as "lncRNA (ENSMMUG00000056144.1)". The record is from RNAcentral. Lineage: Eukaryota; Metazoa; Chordata; Mammalia; Primates; Cercopithecidae.
AUGCUGAAAGUGUGUGGGUAUUUGUGUGUGCAUCACAUGUGUGCACUAGAUGCCAAUAUGAAAUACAUUAUUAUUAUUAUUUUGAGACAGGGUCUCUCUUUGUUACCCAGGCUGGAGUGCAGUGGUGUGAACAUGGUUUACUGCAGCCUCAAACUCCUGGGAUCAAGUGAUUCUCCUGCCUCAGCCUCCCAUAUUACAUAUGUGAGCCAUCGUACUCAACCUGAAAUAUAUUCUUACCAUCGGUCACGAACAUGCGUAGUUAACCCAGACCCUGAUACCAUCCUGGACCAGACAGAAGCAGCGUCCUUCUCCUGGAGGAGCUUGGAGCCACAGCAAGAGCCAGGCAUUACACCCCGGUGCUACACAGGUGGUCUCAGCUCCCAGCGAUGACCCAGGAGAAGCCCACGGGAGCCCUCAGCUGCAACCAAUCCUCCAGGCUGCUGGCCUGCCUGCCUUCCUGAAAUAGUCCAGAUUUCACUUAUUAAACAUAUUAAUCUGAAGUUAACAAUUUGUGCUUGUUUCACUAAAUGGCUUGAAGAGAAGAAUGCAGGGGAAAAGAAUUUGAUUUGAUGGGAAGGCUUAACCCGGAUGGACUAAGCGGCCUUCAUAUUCUGACUUUAAAACAACUGGAAAUCGAGGGACUAUUCACAGAAGUGGAGAGUCAGAGGGUAAACCUAACUGGAGUUAAGGAAGCACAAACAAAACCCAUCCCCUUCUCGGCCCCAACCUGCCAUGUGACUCUAAGGACAUUGCUUACUGCAGUGACAGCAUUUUAAACAGCUGCCCAGAGGGGUUUUAAAUAGACUUGAUGUAAUUCAAGGAUUUAUAGAGCAUAGGUUACCAAAAUAUUAAAGUUCUGAAAUAUCCCUAAACCAAGACCACGGCCCUAGCAUUACCCACUCUGAACCGAAUCAUUCUCUGCCGUUGGAGUGUGGUGCAUGUGGCUUCUUCAGAAAACUGUGGCUGCUCUAAAUGAGUGGCCAGAAAAAGAUAUACAGCCUCUGAUGAAUAGAUGCGACCUUCCAUGUAAAAACACACUCUCCCGGUCUUCGGCAACUCAGUCCAUGGAAAGCACUAAUCUUCAGAAAAUAAACCAGACAGUUAUUUUUUAAUUGCUUAUCAAAUCUAAGUAUUCAAGGAAAUUACAGUGGGGUGGGGUAGAGGUGGGAAUACACAAAAUCAUGAAUCUGGGUAACGAAGUGCCCCUGGACCUCUACUCUGUAAAAUAAAC